Molecule: ribosomal RNA, 492 nt
Filed under: uncultured bacterium
Lineage: Bacteria
Description: partial 16S ribosomal RNA
Rfam family: Bacterial small subunit ribosomal RNA
Source: RNAcentral
CGACCGCUGGCGGCGUGCUUAACACAUGCAAGUCGAACGGAAAGGCCUGCUUUCCCUUGUGGAUUGCGGGUACUCGAGUGGCGAACGGGUGAGUAACACGUGAGUGAUCUGCCCCCAACUUGGGUAUAAGCCUGGGAAACUGGGUCUAAUUCCCGAUAGGACUGCAGGGUGGUGCCUGUGGUGGAAAACGAUUUUCUAGUGGUUGGGGAUGAGCUCGCGGCCUAUCAGCUUGUUGGUGGGGUAAUGGCCUACCAAGGCGGCGACGGGUAGCCGGCCUGAGAGGGUGGACGGCCACAUUGGGACUGAGAUACGGCCCAGACUCCUACGGGAGGCAGCAGUGGGGAAUAUUGCACAAUGGGCGGAAGCCUGAUGCAGCGACGCCGCGUGGGGGAUGACGGCCUUCGGGUUGUAAACUCCUUUCGACCGCGAGGAAGCCACCUGGUUGGAAGGGUGGUGACGGUAGUGGUAGAAGAAGCACCGGCUAACUACGUG